Molecule: ribosomal RNA, 483 nt
Filed under: uncultured bacterium
Lineage: Bacteria
Description: partial 16S ribosomal RNA
Rfam family: Bacterial small subunit ribosomal RNA
Source: RNAcentral
AUUGAACGCUGGCGGCAGGCCUAACACAUGCAAGUCGAGCGGAUGAAGGGAGCUUGCUCCUGGAUUCAGCGGCGGACGGGUGAGUAAUGCCUAGGAAUCUGCCUGGUAGUGGGGGAUAACGUCCGGAAACGGGCGCUAAUACCGCAUACGUCCUGAGGGAGAAAGUGGGGGAUCUUCGGACCUCACGCUAUCAGAUGAGCCUAGGUCGGAUUAGCUAGUUGGUGGGGUAAAGGCCUACCAAGGCGACGAUCCGUAACUGGUCUGAGAGGAUGAUCAGUCACCAUGGAACUGAGCCACGGUCCAGAAUCCUACGGGAGGCAGCAGUGGGAAAUUUUGGACAAUGGGGGAAAGCCUGAUCCAGCCAUGGCGGGUGGUGGAAGAAGGUUUUCGGUUUGUAAAGCCCUUUAAGUUGGGGGGAAGGGAAGUAAGUUAAUACCUGUCUGUUUUGGCUUGACCAACAAAAAAAGCACCGGCUGACUGCGG